GGGUGCAGCAGGCGCGAAAACUUUACAAUGCUGGAAACAGCGAUAAGGGGACCUCGAGUGCCAGGUUACAAAUCUGGCUGUCGUGAUGCCUAAAAAGCAUUGCAUAGCAAGGGCCGGGCAAGACCGGUGCCAGCCGCCGCGGUAACACCGGCGGCUCGAGUGGUAACCGUUAUUAUUGGGUCUAAAGGGUCUGUAGCCGGCCAGAUAAGUCUCUUGGGAAAUCCAGCAGCUCAACUGUUGGGCUUUCAGGAGAUACUGUCUGGCUCGAGGCCGGGAGAGGUGAGAGGUACUUCAGGGGUAGGGGUGAAAUCUUGUAAUCCUUGAAGGACCACCAGUGGCGAAGGCGUCUCACCAGAACGGACCUGACGGCAAGGGACGAAAGCUAGGGGCACGAACCGGAUUAGAUACCCGGGUAGUCCUAGCCGUAAACGAUACUCGCUAGGUGUCGGCCACGGUGCGACCGUUGUCGGUGCCGUAGGGAAGCCGUGAAGCGAGCCACCUGGGAAGUACGGCCGCAAGGCUGAAACUUAAAGGAAUUGGCGGGGGAGCAC
RNAcentral lists this ribosomal RNA (551 nucleotides) under uncultured archaeon. Its description in RNAcentral is "bacterial SSU rRNA". It matches the Rfam family "Archaeal small subunit ribosomal RNA", at positions 328 to 879 of the family's 1478-position model. The record is from RNAcentral.